GAUGAACGCUGGCGGCGUGCCUAAUACAUGCAAGUCGAGCGAACGGACGCGACGCUUGCUUUUCUGAUGUUAGCGGCGGACGGGUGAGUAACACGUGGAUACCCUACCUAUAAGACUGGGAUAACUUCGGGAAACCGGAGCUAAUACCGGAUAAUCUUUUGCACCGCAUGGUUCAACAGUAAAAGACGGUCUUGCUGUCAGUUCUAGAUGGAUCCGCGCUGCAUUGGCUAGUUGGUACGGUACCGGCUUACCACGGCAACGAUGCAUAGCCGACCUGCGAGGGGGAUGGGCCACAGUGGAAGUGAGACGCGGUCCUGGCACCGACGGAAGGCAGCAGCAGGUAAUCUACCGAAAAGGGGGAAAGCCUGACGGAGCGACGCAGCGUGAGUGAUGAAGGGCUGCGGAUCGGAAAACGCUGUUAUGAGGGAAGAACAUAUGUGUAAGUAACGGUGCGCAUCUGGAGGGGACCGAAACAGAAGACCAGGGUGAACUACGG
Molecule: ribosomal RNA, 496 nt
Filed under: uncultured bacterium
Lineage: Bacteria
Description: partial 16S ribosomal RNA
Rfam family: Bacterial small subunit ribosomal RNA
Source: RNAcentral